RNAcentral lists this ribosomal RNA (497 nucleotides) under uncultured bacterium. RNAcentral describes it as "partial 16S ribosomal RNA". It matches the Rfam family "Bacterial small subunit ribosomal RNA", at positions 28 to 507 of the family's 1533-position model. The record is from RNAcentral.
GAUGAACGCUGGCGGCGUGCCUAAUACAUGCAAGUCGAGCGAACAGACGAGGAGCUUGCUCCUUUGACGUUAGCGGCGGACGGGUGAGUAACACGUGGAUAACCUACCUAUAAGACUGGGAUAACUUCGGGAAACCGGAGCUAAUACCGGAUAACAUGUUGAACCGCAUGGUUCAACAGUGAAAGACGGUCUUGCUGUCACUUAUAGAUGGAUCCGCGCCGCAUUAGCUAGUUGGUAAGGUAACGGCUUACCAAGGCAACGAUGCGUAGCCGACCUGAGAGGGUGAUCGGCCACACUGGAACUGAGACACGGUCCAGACUCCUACGGGAGGCAGCAGUAGGGAACCUUCCGCAAUGGGCGAAAGCCUGACGGAGCAACGCCGCGUGAGUGAAGAAGGUCUUCGGAUCGUAAAACUCUGUUAUUAGGGAAGAACAAAUGUGUAAGUAACUAUGCACGUCUUGACGGUACCUAAUCAGAAAGCCACGGCUAACUACGUG